AUGGCAUAUUUUGCCAACUGUGCUUGUCAGCCCAUUGGAACUCCAAACCUUUGCUUGCAUUGCCUUAUAAUUGAUGAAGUUGACCACAUACUUGAGCAAAAUUUCAAGGAGGACAUGAAACAAAUAUUUAAACGCCUCCCUCAGACUCAAAAGGUUAGUGGAUCUGUUAGUGAGCCUAUUCAAACUUCCCCCAAUUUCUCUAUCGGCGGCAAUGCUUAUGUCCUGUCAUCCCACAGGGAUUUUCCUGGUCCGUGGACCAGAACGUUUACUUCUAGGCCGAGCCUUGGAACAGGACGCAAUCGAAACCUGCCGCCGCCACGACAGAGCGGGUGGCUGACGCUGGCUCGGCCGUGUGCCCAUGGCCGUGACUUGCAGCUUUCCUCUCGGGAAGAGUUUGUGGACACCUUGGAGCGUCUAGAUCCGGUCCCUCUAGCGGUGCUCCCGUGGCGCGAUGGCAACAGUCCCCUGAGCCGGCUGACUCGAAUGCCGGCUCCUGGUACCGGCAGCAUGUUGGCGGUGCUAGCACGGGCAACCCGGAGAGCGACGGUCGCCAGUGACGGCAAUCUUCUCCGACACGGUCAACGCAGUCCACGUACCGGGUCAAUCCUGAGGCUCCGGGCUGGACAAAAAGUUGCACAUACGAUUGCAGAACAACCAAAAUGGAAAUGCUUGUUCAUGCAAUAUGGAAAGGCUAGGCCAGUGGCUAAUUCGAGGUUACAUCUAGGGAGUGCGCCGCCAGACAGAGCGCCGUGUCCAUCUAGGAUGAGUGCCUUAGAGCAGUCAAUUCACAAGUAUGCAGAGGAAUCAAUGAAAAGUAUUCUUCAGUCUGAACAAGGACUUAGUUUGGACUCUCUUGGUGUGGCGUAUGACUUCUACAAUUCGUACUCAUGGGAGAUUGGGUUCAGGAUAAGAGAAGAGGACAAUGAUUCCCAAGUUUUUGGGUUCAUCUCCAAGUGCCAGGGAAAUAUGCUAGCAGGAGGACUGCUUGGUAAUGGAGAAGUUGCAUUCAUGGCAAAUGGGGUUGCAGACCAUGAAUGCAGUGCAGGCCUGCCUGUGAGUGUCAAUGCGCUUGGAGGGUUAGCUUGGAUAGAGAAGCAGAGAGGGGUCGGCAGGCCAAGGAACAGCCGGGAGAAAGCACUGUACGAGGGACUGAGACGAGGUUCGGCAGUAUAUGUCGCCGUGAACGUCACAAGAGAACGACUUUGCCCUGACCGGGAAAUCCAGGAAGAUGCAAGAACUGUGGACUGGAAGGACAGCGCCGGAACACGUGCACGCCCACUUGGUGCAGUCUACUGCACUGAUGCCGCCAUGUCGAGCUCCUCUGUCCUCUGCUCCGAGCCUUUCUAUUCGUCCCUCUCGACGCCGAAGCCCUUCCCCUUGAUCUCCUUGCCCGCGUGCUACUACACUGGAGUCGUUUCCGGCGUCGCUCAUCUCGGCCUACUCUCUGUCGUCCUCCUACUGCACUGA
This 1467-nucleotide ribosomal RNA is filed under the name Triticum aestivum (bread wheat). RNAcentral describes it as "partial small subunit ribosomal RNA". Lineage: Eukaryota; Viridiplantae; Streptophyta; Magnoliopsida; Poales; Poaceae. The record is from RNAcentral.